RNAcentral lists this ribosomal RNA (198 nucleotides) under uncultured bacterium. RNAcentral describes it as "partial 16S ribosomal RNA". It matches the Rfam family "Bacterial small subunit ribosomal RNA", at positions 328 to 539 of the family's 1533-position model. The record is from RNAcentral.
ACGCUCGACACCUACGGGAGGCAGCAGUUGGGAAUAUUGGACAAUGGAGGAAACUCUGAUCCAGUGACGCCGCGUGAAGGAAGAAGGUCUUCGGAUUGUAAACUUAUUUUGUCAGGGAAGAAAAAUGACUGUACCUGAAGAAAAAGCACCGGCUAACUACGUGCCAGUAGCCCGGUAAUCUGAGCGGGCUGGCAAGGC